ACCUGGUUGAUCCUGCCAGUAGUCAUAUGCUUGCCUUGAAGAUUAAGCCAGUUUUGUCUAAGAAUUUAUCGUGUAAUGAUUGUCUGCGAAUGGCUCCUUAAAACAGUUUUAAUUUACUUGAGAGAAUUUCUAAAUGGAUAACCAUUGGAAACUAUGGCUAAUACAUGCAAGAAGGCUUGACUUUAGGGAAAGGCUGUAUUUAUUAGGUAACCAACCAAAGUGUGGAAUCAUAAUAACUGAAGGAAAUCGCGAAAUCGUAGAAUUGCGAUCCCUCAAACAAGUUCCUGCCCUAUCAGUUAGAUGGUAGUGUAUUGGACUACCAUGACGGUGACGGGUAACGGAGAAUUAGGGUUCGAUUCCGGAGACUUAGGCUGAGAAAAGGCUAAGACUUUGCAAGAAGGCAUACGGCGCGUAAACUUCUCAAUGCCGACUCGGUGAGGAGGUGAAGAGGCAUAUCGGAAAGGGGGGAAUACCUUUCUUUCCGGCAUGGAUCACAACUUAAAAAAUUGGGUGAUAAACAAUUGGAGGGCAAGUCUGGUGCCAGCAGCCGCGGUAAUUCCAGCUCCAAUAGCGUAUACUAAAGUUGCUGCAGUUAAAAUCCUCCUAGUUUACUCUAAGAGACCUUUCAUUGUCGGGUUUUCCGAUGGUUCGGGGCCUCUAUUCCCGUUAACUUGGGGCUUUUUGUCUCAAGAGCAGGGAUUUACCUUGAAAAAAUAAUAUUGCUUAAAGAAGACUAGCGUCUGAAUUUAAGAGCUUGGAAUAAACGAAUGAAUCCGAAUUGAUUCGUUGGUAUAAAUUGGAUAAGGUGAUAGGGACAGACGGGGGCGCUUGUACUUGUCAGGAAGAGGUGAUAUUCUAUAAUCUGGCAAAGACAAACAAAGGCGAAGGCAGGCGCCAAAUAUGUUCUCUUUAACCAAGAGGGAAAGCCUGGGGAUCAAAGGCGAUCGGAAACCGUCGUAGUCCAGGCCCUAAACGAUGCCGACUUGCAAUUGGAGAAGUAACAAUGGCUUCUUCAGGGGCAUAGGAGAAAUCAAAGUCUUCGGGUUCUGGGGGGAGUAUGGUCGCAAGUCUGAAACUUAAAGGAAUUGACGGAAGGGCACACAAGGAGUGGAGCUUCCGACUUAAUUUAAUUCAACUCAGGAAAACUUACCAGGUUCAGAUCUAGCUAGGAUUGACAGACUAAAGCUCUUUCUUGAUUCUAGAAGUGGUGGUGCAUGGCCGCUCUCAGUCCGUGGACUGAUCUCGCUGGUUAAUUCCGAUAACGAGCGAGAUCUUAACCUGCUAACUAGGUCUUCAGAAUGCGUUCUGAUGUGUCUUCCUAGAGGGACUUUGCAUAUUUAGUGUAAGGAGGUUUGAGGCAAUAACAGGUUUGUGAUGCCCUUAGAUGUUCUGGGCUGCACGCGCGCUACAAUGACACUCUCAGCGAGUUUCCUUUCCCGAAAGGGUUGGGUAAUCUUGUUAGUGAAUGUCGUAAUGGGGAUAGAAUAUUGUAAUUAUUGCUCUUAAACGAGGAAUUCCUAGUAAGCGCAAGUCAACAGCUUGCGCUGAUUACGUCCCUGCCCUUUGUACACACCGCCCGUCGCUGCUACCGAUGGGUGAUCCGGUGAAUGAUUUGGACUUUGUCUAUGCUAGCUACUAGCUAUGUCAGGGAAAACUUUGUGGACCUUAUCACUUGGAGGAAGCAGAAGUCGUAACAAGGUUUCCGUAGGUGAACCUGCGGAAGGAUCA
This 1728-nucleotide ribosomal RNA is filed under the name uncultured eukaryote. Its description in RNAcentral is "SSU rRNA". It matches the Rfam family "Eukaryotic small subunit ribosomal RNA". The record is from RNAcentral.